GUUUUCUACCCCAGUCAGCAUUAUUGUCCAAGACUGAAGACUCCAAGCAGAAAACACUCUGCUCUACACCAAGGCGAUGAAGAGGCGCAAACUCGGAGAAAUACAGUCAAGAUUAAAUUGAUUUAACUGAUGAAUACUAGAGCUAGAACAAUCAUCGAAAAAGGCUUUCAAGCUAGAAGAACAAAUAGGUUGAAGCUGGGAGAUUAAAGUUUAAAGAAUGAAGCCUAUAGAAGAUUCCAUAUGAAAAUCACUCUGGAUUUCCAUUUUGGACAAGAUGUAGCAUGAAGAAUUAUAGAGGACACGGAAUUUGUGCUUGUGGCAAUGGCCACGGAAGAAAAUUUUGAGACAAGCACUGCCUCAUUGGUUACAGCCUUGGAUGCUGCCAUAUCAUACCACCUUGAUUAUUCUACUUCAUUUGCUUCUCUGCCUAGAAGGGUAGGUGCUUGAUGCUCAUCUGCUUUAUGACGUUUUUUCGGACAAUAUAUUUGUAUAUAGUAAAAUAAGAUUUAUUUAUUUAGUUUAUAUUGAUUAAUAUGCAUUUUCGUCAUCAGUUUUUAUUAUUCAGAAAAUUUAACUAAAACAGAAAAUAUACAAAGCAUGGCUUUCUACAAUUAAUGGUUCUGUUCUCCAGUGGUGUUUUGUUACUAGUCCUUGUAAUUAGUUUCUCGGCUCUUCAGAUUCGAUAGUCCAUCCAAGGUUGUCUUUCCACUUUCUUUUUUGAAGCCAAUCAUACACGAAUAUUGCUUUUUGUUUUUGUCUGAUUAUGCUAUUGAUUACAUAAUGCCACUAAUUAUUUCUUCUUUACACAGUGGUUGAAGAUCUAUUCCUGAGAAGGGAGCCUAUGCCUUCUAUGGAUGUGAUUUAUUUCAUACAACCUUUAAAAGAGAAGUGUCAAUUACCCUCAAGCUUAUUCACUUCCCAAGUCUAAAUGAUUUAGUUUUUUAGUAUGGUCUGAUAUUGAUGGUCUUUAGAGUUUGAAAUAUGGAAAGUAGCAUUCGAAACUAAAGUUGGCACUUUUUUUUCUAUGAACUUUUGAAUGCAGAUGAACUUGGAGUACUUUGCCAUGGACAGACAGAUACUGUUUCAAGACACAUGGAGGAGCAAGGUCUUUUUUCUUGAAUUUGCUUUUUACUGGUUCAAUUGUAUCCUGAUAUGUGAGAGCUAAGUUGGCCUAUAAGGAUUAAAGAGGCUAUCCCCUGUUAUCAAUUUGUCAACUUUCAUUGAAUUGGGAUCUCCUGGUCUAAUCAUAAUUGGACCAGAAGGGGGAUACUUUUAGGAAGAACGUGUUCAGAAGAUCGAGACAAUUUAAAGGGCUACAUGAAUUUUGAUAUAUGCUGCUCCCCAAUGUUUAAAACAGAUGAAUUGGAAUCACAUGUUCAUAGGAACCAUGGCGACCUUCUUAUAGUGCAGAGACAAUGAAGGAAGAAGGAAAUGAGUGGGAAGCUCCCAGUGCUAGGAAACUGGUGGCUUCGGAGUCAACUAUUCAAGCACCACCAAGUCGAUUCCAUAAUACCUUCUUUUAACUUAAUAAUUUUAAUUACCUAAAUCUAACUAGACUAACUCUUUUGUGUAGAUUAUGCCUUGACUUAAUGGCUAAUUUAUGUAUGUGACUUAGAUUUUGAACGAGUUUGUAAGACUAUAUUGUCACGGUCAUGGUACCGCUUUUGGAUUGUUGGCUACUUGAUGCUAAUUAGAAUUUUGAAUUGACAGUUGAAAUUUGUUGACAAUUGAUA
Molecule: long non-coding RNA, 1733 nt
Organism: Daucus carota subsp. sativus
Lineage: Eukaryota; Viridiplantae; Streptophyta; Magnoliopsida; Apiales; Apiaceae
Exons: 6
Source: RefSeq, a predicted model, not a curated record